RNAcentral lists this ribosomal RNA (109 nucleotides) under Cryptosporidium parvum. Its description in RNAcentral is "partial small subunit ribosomal RNA". Lineage: Eukaryota; Apicomplexa; Conoidasida; Eucoccidiorida; Cryptosporidiidae. The record is from RNAcentral.
GUCUGAUGACUCAUAAUAACUUUACGGAUCACAUUAAAUGUGACAUAUCAUUCAAGUUUCUGACCUAUCAGCUUUAAACGGUAGGGUAUUGGCCUAUCAAUUGAGAGGG